Long non-coding RNA from Marmota monax (woodchuck), 1909 nucleotides. RefSeq lists it as uncharacterized. The transcript has 3 exons. Lineage: Eukaryota; Metazoa; Chordata; Mammalia; Rodentia; Sciuridae. The record is from RefSeq and is a predicted model, not a curated record.
UCACCUGCCAGUGUGCCCCCAGCCGCUCUCCUGCCCGCCCGCUUCCUGCCUUCGCUCCCCCACGGUGGGCCCCGCACCCCCGCACCCCUAAGCCCUGCCCGGCCCCCGUGAGGAAGCAAGAGGCACAGCCCGGAGCCCCUGCCUCCUGUCAACCCGCGGCCUUUGCGGGUCUGGGCCGCCCGGGGAGACUGGGGUGGGCUCCGGCCGGGCACCGGCGCCCGUCUCCUCCGACAGCUGAGCUAGGCCUCGUCUGGCCUCCCAAACGACCCCCUCCCCGACGUCCCAGGCCAUUGGACCCCCGGCUCUGCCUUUCUCCUCCUGCCCUGUCCACGUGUUGGCGUCGGGGGCUGGACCUCCGGAGGGGAGGGUGACACCUUCCUCCGGGCCUGGGAGGAGGGAGCGAGCUGGUCACGGGCACCUCCCCUUGCGGCGACGCGGUAAGGAGAGAAGGAAGUCCCUUCUCGCGGAGCUCUCAUUGCAGCCGGCGACAGACAAGAAACAGGACAGCGGCAAACAGUGACGACGCCCGGCGGGGACAGGCGUCGUGAAGGAAGCAGCAGAGGAAGCUGAGACGGGCUGGCUGCGGAGGGGAGACCGGACGGAGACCACCCCGAGCUCCAGCUCCGCAAAGGGACCGCGCUGCGAGCGGCCUCACUGCCAAGGACAAAGGCCCUGAGGGGGGAAGAGCUGGGGGGCUCCAGGGUCCCCUCCGGGCGGGCCGGGGUGACCUGCCGGAGGCGGAGCGCGGCCCGGGCCGUGAGCCGAGAACCCGCGUGGCCCGGACCCGGACGCGCCCUCUGGCGGCCGUGCGAGGAUCGACCAGGUGGCUCCGCUGCAGGGUCCCGAGCCGAGCUGGCGGCGGAAGGUGUAUAUUUCGUAGCGUCUAAACGAUUUGCUGAUGGAUCUAGAACGAUUCCAGGCUCAUUCUUGACAACUUGACAAAUGCAGGUGUCACUUAACCAGGAGCCGGUGACGGUGAUGGAGGGGGGUCUUGGAAUCGAGGUUCCAUCCUGGACAUGGGGUUGAGAAGCCUGUGAGGUAGCAGAGCAUUUGCUAUGAACUGAAUGUUUAUGUUCCAAAAAUUCACCUUGAAACCUGGCCCCCAAGGGGACGGUAUUUGGAGGAGGGGCUUUGGGAAGUGAUCAGGUCACCAGGAUGUGAAUGGAGCCCUCAGAACAGAAUUGGUGCUGCUAUAAAGAGCACCACAGGGCACACUGACAGAAGAGAGCCAUCCCUCGCAGACAGACUCGCCAACACCCUGAUCUUGGACUUCCAGCCCCCAGAACAGCGAGAAGUGAAUUUCUGUUUUUUCCAUUUUGUCAUAGCAGCCUGAACGGACUAAUACAGUGUUGACUGGUUGAUGGAUUGACUGAUUGAAAUGGCAUAAUAUUUGGGAUUUAUUUUACCCCAGCUCUAUUAAGGUGGCCUCUCUGUCGGCUCUUCCCUUUGCCUGCUCAGACCAAGGCCGCAAGCCUUCCUCCUGUUUUCUUCCAGCGGCUUUCCACAUUUAAGUCUGCCAUCCACUGGAGCCCAUUGUUGUGCAUCACCAGAGGGCCGAGCAGGCUGGGUUCACAUCCGCCGCCUCCUCUCACCGGCUGUGGGGCCACAACAAGCGGCUUCACCUCUCACCUGCGCUGACCGCGGCACCUCCCCAAGGAGCUGAGAUGACGUGGGACACCCAGAAGGAGCCCGGCAAGUCCCAGGCGCUUGCGAACGGCCAGGCUGCCGUUGGCCUGAGUCUCUUUUCCCUUUUCAUCUUUAAUCUCUCUCCCCUUCUCUAGGGGGCUCCUCUGCUCUUUCUCCAAUAUCUUCGACUUUUUUUUUUUGGGGGGGGGGCUGCCCCUCACACACAGGCUCUCCCAUUGCCUUAGCCCUUUUCUGUUACUAUAAUGAAAUAACUGGACACUGA